Molecule: long non-coding RNA, 511 nt
Organism: Mauremys reevesii (Reeves's turtle)
Lineage: Eukaryota; Metazoa; Chordata; Testudines; Geoemydidae
Exons: 3
Source: RefSeq, a predicted model, not a curated record
UCAAGGGAGAAGAAGGUUGCAACUAUUUGUGUACUUUUUCCAAGUAAAUGUGACAUAUCAUAUCUGCUCAUCUCUGCCAUCUUGCCAAAUGGCCCCAUUAGAGACAGGUCUGCCUUGGAGAUGCUAUGAACCGCACCACCCAAGUGGAACUACUGAAAGCAUUGGAUGAAAUCCUGGAAGUUAUGCCAUUUACAAUGGGACCAGGAUUUCACCCAUUGUGUCUUCACAGGGGAUACUUCUGUCCAGAACUCUUGGGGAGUAGCUGGAGUGCCAACCCAGGGAGCAUGGAGUGUGCUCUUUGCCUCUGGUCUCUUUCUCAAAGUCUACCUAUUUGAGAUGGUGAAUUUGAGGCACAGAAGGGGAAAAGAUAUUUCCAAAUUCACAUAAUUGGAUUGAAAUUGCAUUGAGGCAUGGACCAUCUUUUACUCUCUCCUUUUGUUUAUCUAUGUAUUUAUUUAUUUAUUUAUUUUUGUUACUGUUGUCAGCACAAUGGAGCCUGAGUAUUGACUGU